Molecule: long non-coding RNA, 221 nt
Filed under: Gossypium barbadense (sea-island cotton)
Lineage: Eukaryota; Viridiplantae; Streptophyta; Magnoliopsida; Malvales; Malvaceae
Description: long non-coding RNA (GBAR_LNC006240)
Source: RNAcentral
AUGCUGAUAAAAAAUGAGUGACAAAAAAAGACAGAAAAGUUAUCAUUACGUUUAUCAUUAUGUUAUAAGAAAGAAAUCCACUUUAGUUCUUUAGUUCUUAAGGAGCACAAAAGAAAGGAUAAAAGGGGAGGGGCCGAUUGAGAAAAGAAAAGUAGAGAAAAUUUACAAGAUAUGAUCUAUCUGUAUCUAACGUAUCAACUCCAAAUAUUGUAAAUAAAAAG